This 630-nucleotide ribosomal RNA is filed under the name uncultured bacterium. RNAcentral describes it as "bacterial SSU rRNA". The stretch from base 1 to 545 matches the Rfam family "Bacterial small subunit ribosomal RNA", at positions 338 to 873 of the family's 1533-position model. The record is from RNAcentral.
CCUACGGGAGGCAGCAGUGGGGAAUUUUGGACAAUGGGGGCAACCCUGAUCCAGCCAUUCCGCGUGAGUGAAGAAGGCCUUCGGGUUGUAAAGCUCUUUCGCAAGGGAAGAAAACUUAUGAUCGAAUAAAUCAUGAGGUUGACGGUACCUUGAUAAGAAGCACCGGCUAACUACGUGCCAGCAGCCGCGGUAAUACGUAGGGUGCGAGCGUUAAUCGGAAUUACUGGGCGUAAAGCGUGCGCAGGCGGUUUUGUAAGUCGGAUGUGAAAUCCCCGGGCUCAACCUGGGAACUGCGUUCGAAACUGCAAGGCUAGAGUGUGUCAGAGGGGGGUAGAAUUCCACGUGUAGCAGUGAAAUGCGUAGAGAUGUGGAGGAAUACCAAUGGCGAAGGCAGCCCCCUGGGAUAACACUGACGCUCAUGCACGAAAGCGUGGGGAGCAAACAGGAUUAGAUACCCUGGUAGUCCACGCCCUAAACGAUGUCAACUAGUUGUUGGUAGAGUAAAACUCUAUGAGUAACGUAGCUAACGCGUGAAGUUGACCGCCUGGGGGAGGUACGGUCGCGAAGUAGUAAACGUUACGAAGGUAGUUAGAGGCGNGNGAGNGCGACGGACGACGACGAGGGAGGAGG